UCAGUACUGAAGAAAAACAAACAAACAACAAUCAAAACCAAAACAGAAUUGCUAGGCCGGGGGAAGAACAUUUGUUUGCUGUGCUAAUGAAAUCUAAUCUCAUUGACCCAGCAGACAUAACCAUAGCAGUGAGAACUUUAAUGGCAAGACAAAGGACCUGAACAAUACCACACUUUGGCAGGAGGCCAGGAAUCAAAGCUCUGCAGAAUGGAUUGGGAGCAACAGACAGGUUGACCUCUGUUCUGUGGGCUCUUAAAAAAAAUCAGCAAUACAAUAUGCGAAUGAACACAACAUGCCUUCAAGUAAGCAUCCUGAAAUACCAUGGCUUUCCUUGGGACUAGGGAAGAGCAGAGUAGAAUCUCCAUUAGGAAUCAGUAAUAAUUCUGGAUGGAAUCCAAAAUGUGCAAUUUCCCCCUGACCAUUUCAGGAAGGUCAGUAGAACUGUAUUAAAAGUGAAUUCAGUUUAUGGUAUCUUAUAAACAACCACCAGCAGGCAUCAGUGCCCUGAGCAGCUUGAGGUACUGUCUUUUUUUUCACUUGGAGUAGUAAGUCUGACUCCUAUUGAUUCCCUUACGGGCUUCAAUGGGGAUGAGAGAGUGUUUGUCAGCGCUAAAGGUGCAAACCUUUUAAAUGCCAGAAUGAAAUCUCUGCAGCCUCACACACGGGACUGUUAGAAACACUGCUGCAGACUUGUCCCUUAGCUUGUGCUAUCACUCUGUGCUCCUGGAAGAAGCUUAAAGAGGGCUUUAAAAGCAGCUCUCUGAAAGAUCUCACACGUGCCAUAUGGCUGGGUAUUUGUAAUGUUUUCUGUCUCACGCUCUCGUCCUAAACUGCUGUGGAGUUGAACUAUUUGCUCUAUUCUGUCUGCCGUAUUUUAGUAAAGAUAUAAUUGUAAUCAUAUAAUUAGAGU
This is a long non-coding RNA of Nothoprocta perdicaria, 910 nucleotides long. RefSeq lists it as uncharacterized. The transcript has 2 exons. The record is from RefSeq and is a predicted model, not a curated record. NCBI's taxonomy places the organism in Eukaryota, Metazoa, Chordata, Aves, Tinamiformes, Tinamidae.